AGUAACGCGUGGGUAACCCACCUUCGAAUCUGGGAUAACUCCGCGAAAGCGGUGCUAAUACCGGAUAAGACCACAGCCGUUUCGGCGGCAGAGGUAAAAGCUGACCUCUCCAUGGAAGUUAGCGUUCGAGGACGGGCCCGCGUCCUAUCAGCUUGUUGGUGGGGUAAAAGCCUACCAAGGCAGCGACGGGUAGCUGGUCUGAGAGGAUGAUCAGCCACACUGGAACUGGAACACGGUCCAG
Molecule: ribosomal RNA, 241 nt
Filed under: uncultured bacterium
Lineage: Bacteria
Description: partial 16S ribosomal RNA
Rfam family: Bacterial small subunit ribosomal RNA
Source: RNAcentral